GGUAAAAUGGCUGAGGGAAGCAUUAGACUGUAAAUCUAAAGACAGGGGUUUGAGUCCCCUUUUUACCA
This 68-nucleotide transfer RNA is filed under the name Cryptotis mexicanus (Mexican small-eared shrew). RNAcentral describes it as "tRNA-Tyr". It matches the Rfam family "tRNA". Rfam says of the family: Transfer RNA (tRNA) molecules are approximately 80 nucleotides in length. Their secondary structure includes four short double-helical elements and three loops (D, anti-codon, and T loops). Further hydrogen bonds mediate the characteristic L-shaped molecular structure. tRNAs have two regions of fundamental functional importance: the anti-codon, which is responsible for specific mRNA codon recognition, and the 3' end, to which the tRNAs corresponding amino acid is attached (by aminoacyl-tRNA synthetases). tRNAs cope with the degeneracy of the genetic code in two manners: having more than one tRNA (with a specific anti-codon) for a particular amino acid; and 'wobble' base-pairing, i.e. permitting non-standard base-pairing at the 3rd anti-codon position. The record is from RNAcentral. Lineage: Eukaryota; Metazoa; Chordata; Mammalia; Eulipotyphla; Soricidae.